Molecule: ribosomal RNA, 253 nt
Filed under: uncultured bacterium
Lineage: Bacteria
Description: partial 16S ribosomal RNA
Rfam family: Bacterial small subunit ribosomal RNA
Source: RNAcentral
UACAGAGGGUGCGAGCGUUAAUCGGAGUUACUGGGCGUAAAGGGCGCGUAGGCGGUGAUGUGAGUGCGAUGUGAAAGCCCUGGGCUUAACCUGGGAAGUGCAUCGUAAACUGCAUUGCUGGAGUAUAUGAGAGGGUGGCGGAAUUUCCGGUGUAGCGGUGAAAUGCGUAGAGAUCGGAAGGAACGUCGAUGGCGAAGGCGGCAUCCUGGACCAAUAUUGACGCUGAGGAGCGAAAGCCAGGGGAGCAAACGGG